Molecule: ribosomal RNA, 468 nt
Filed under: uncultured bacterium
Lineage: Bacteria
Description: partial 16S ribosomal RNA
Rfam family: Bacterial small subunit ribosomal RNA
Source: RNAcentral
GACGAACGCUGGCGGCGUGCUUAACACAUGCAAGUCGAGCGGACAGGCCCUGCUUUUGGGGGGUGCUCGAGUGGCGACCGGGUGAGUAACACGUGCGUAACCUGCCUUUGACUUUGGGAUAACUUCUGGAAACUGGUGCUCAUACCUGGUAGGAGCUCCUGCUGCAUGGUGGGGGUUGGAAUGUUUCGGCGGUUGGGGAUGGACUCGCGGCUUAUCAGCUUGUUGGUGGGGUAGUGGCUUACCAGGGCUUUGGCGGGUAGCCGGCCUGGGAGGGUGACCGGCCAAAUUGGGAUGGAGAUACGGCACGGACUACAACGGGAGGGAGCAGAGGGGAAGAGAGUACAAUGGGCGGAGGCCUGAUGCAGCAACGCCGCGUGGGGGAUGACGGGAAUCGCGUUGUAAUCCAAUGUCGCCUGUGACGAAGCGUGAGUGACGGUAAUGGGUAAAGAAGCACCGGCUAACUACGUG